UGAGGAAAAAGUUGAGAUUUUUGUCUUCUC
RNAcentral lists this non-coding RNA (30 nucleotides) under Mus musculus (house mouse). Lineage: Eukaryota; Metazoa; Chordata; Mammalia; Rodentia; Muridae. The record is from RNAcentral.